This 485-nucleotide ribosomal RNA is filed under the name uncultured bacterium. Its description in RNAcentral is "partial 16S ribosomal RNA". It matches the Rfam family "Bacterial small subunit ribosomal RNA", at positions 899 to 1397 of the family's 1533-position model. The record is from RNAcentral.
ACUCAAAUGAAUUGACGGGGGCCCGCACAAGCAGCGGAGCAUGUGGUUUAAUUCGAUGCGACGCGAAGAACCUUACCCAGACUUGACAUGCUUGUGAAAGCUUGAGGAAACUCAGGUCCUGUCUUCGGACACACUUGCACAGGUGGUGCAUGGCUGUCGUCAGCUCGUGCCGUGAGGUGUUGGGUUAAGUCCCGCAACGAGCGCAACCCUCGUCCUUAGUUGAUUUUCUAGGGAGACUGCCGGGAGAAACCUGGAGGAAGGUGGGGAUGACGUCAAGUCAUCAUGCCCUUUAUGUCUGGGGCUACACACAUGCUACAAUGGCCGGUACAACGGGUUGCCACUUCGCGAGAAGCAGCCAAUCCCUAAAAGCCGGCCUCAGUUCGGAUUGCAGGCUGCAACUCGCCUGCAUGAAGUCGGAGUUGCUAGUAACCGCAGGUCAGCAUACUGCGGUGAAUAUGUUCCCGGGCCUUGUACACACCGCCCGU